UUACCUGGUUUGUCCUGCCAGUAGUCAUAUGCUUGUCUCAAAGAUUAAGCCAUGCAUGUGUAAGUACGUACCUUCCUUAGAGUGAAACCGCAAACGGCUCAUUAAAUCAGUCAUAAUCUAUUGGGUGUCGAUUAUCCGUUUACUCGGAUAACCGUGGCAAUUCUAGAGCUAAUACGUGCGAUUAAGCCCCGACGCCUUCCUCGAGAACAAGCCAUUCUCCCUCGGCCGCCCUCUUCUUUCUUAUUUCCAACCUAACCUAGGUUUGUUUGAGAAAGUUGUUGGCGCGCGCUCGAUCGCGAAUGGCUCUCGAUAGGAAGGGGGAAGGGCGCAGUUAUUAGAACCAUAAACCGAGACGGGCUUUCGGGUCCGAACUCAAUUUAUUUUUUUAUGUUUAAAAUAAAACUCCGGUAUAUGGUGACUCUGGAUAACCUAGCCAAGCGCUAAGGCCUUUUUUAGUGCCGGCGCUGCGCCCUUCGAGUGACUGCCCUAUCAGCUUUCGAUUGUAGGAUAUUCGCCUACGAUGGCUGUAACGGGUAACGGGGAAUCAGGGUUCGAUUCCGGAGAGGGAGCCUGAGAAACGGCUACCACAUCUAAGGAAGGCAGCAGGCACGCAAAUUACCCACUCCCGGCUCGGGGAGGUAGUGACGAAAAAUACCGAUGCGGGACUCAUCCGAGGCCUCGCAAUCGGAAUGAGCUCACUAUAAAAAAGUGGGCGAGGAUCGAUUGGAGGGCAAGUCUGGUGCCAGCAGCCGCGGUAAUUCCAGCUCCAAUAGCGUAUAUUAAAGUUGCUGCGGUUAAAAAGCUCGUAGUUGGAAUUUCGGUUCGUACCGUCGGACCACCCGAGGCGCGACCUCUCUCUUUUUUUUUUUCUUAUUUUACCGAGGGUUUUCGCGUUAACGUAUAUAUAUACGCGUACGAGAUCGUUGGCGGUGUGCUACCUACUGAAAUGGAAAGAAAAGUUUUUAUUUUGAUUUUAAUAUCGGUACUACGCACACCUCCUCGUUUCGUACGUUCACUAUAUAUAUACAGCGUCUUCUCCUCGCGUAAAAAAAAUUAAUUAAAUUAAAGGAGAGGCCACCGCGCCGGGUGGACUAAAAGCCGUUCGGUUACGAAUUUGAAAUGAAAACUAAAACUUUUCGUCGGCUCUCACGGGGUGCUCUUUACCGAGUGUCCCGCGUGGCCGACGACGAUCGCUUUGAACAAAUUAGAGUGCUCAAAGCAGGCUAAAAAAAUUGUUAUGCCCGAAUAACAAUGCAUUGAACGAUGGAACAGGACCUCGGUUCUGCACUCGUUAUAAUUUUUUUUUCUCGGUUUUUGCCCGAAUCCGAGGUAAUGAUUAACGGGAACGGUCGGGGGCAUUAGUAUUGCGACGCGAGAGGUGAAAUUCUGUGACCGUCGCAAGACUACCUACUGCGAAAGCAUUUGCCAAGAACGUCUCCAUUAAUCAAGAACGAAAGUUAGAGGAUCGAAGGCGAUCAGAUACCGCCCUAGUUCUAACCUUAAACGAUGCCAACUAGCGAUCCGCGUACCAGUCAUUCCCAAGACUGCGCGGGAAGCUCUCGGGAAACCAAAGUUUUUGGGUUCCGGGGGUAGUAUGGUUGCAAAGCUGAAACUUAAAGGAAUUGACGGAAGGGCACCACCAGGAGUGGAGCCUGCGGCUUAAUUUGACUCAACACGGGAAACCUCACCAGGCCCGGACACCGGAAGGAUUGACAGAAUGAGAGCUCUUUCUCGAUUCGGUGCAUGGUGGUGCAUGGCCGUUCUUAGUUGGUGGAGCGAUUUGUCUGGUUAAUUCCGAUAACGAACAAGACUCUGGCCUACUAAAUAGUCGGCGGAUCGUUUCCCGAGGCGGUUCGCUUCGCGUUUCGCUCUUUAAAAGAAAUUUGCGCGUACGCGGCUAAAAAGGGAGUUUGCUAUCGCGUGUUGGUUGGCCGUAGAGGACGAGAAGCUAGAGGAGGAGGGGAAGGGGUUCUACCCUUUCUUCUUCUUCUUCUUCUCUUUCCCUCUUCGGCUUUUCUUUUCCCGCGAUAGUUUUUCUCUCUCGCUGCGCGUUCUUUUCCUCUCGAGCGUUCGCGAGCGUCGCCAAAGGGGCGUCCGUCGCCGAAAAUUAAAUCUUCUUAGAGGGACCGGCGGUCUCGAGCCGUACGAGAAAGAGCAAUAACAGGUCUGUGAUGCCCUUAGAUGUCCUGGGCCGCACGCGCGCUACAAUGAAGGAAGCAGCGUGCUUUCCCCCUCCGAAAGGAGUCUGGGUAACCCGUUGAAACUCCUUCCCGAUUGGGAUUGGGGGUUGCAACGGUUGCCCAUGAACGAGGAAUUCCUUGUAAGCGCGGGUCAUUAGCUCGCGAUGAAUACGUCCCUGCCCUUUGUACACACCGCCCGUCGCUACUACCGAUGAAUGAUUAAGUGAGAGCGUCGGACCGAGCGCCCCUUUAUAGUUCGCUGUUUGCUCGACGUCAUUUUCUUGGCGGGCCGAGUUAUUCCGCGCGUGGGGAGGUUCGGGAAGACGUCCGAAACUUGAUUAUUUAGAGGAAGUAAAAGUCGUAACAAGGUUGCUGUAAGGUGAACCUGC
Molecule: ribosomal RNA, 2569 nt
Filed under: Cassidinidea ovalis
Lineage: Eukaryota; Metazoa; Arthropoda; Malacostraca; Isopoda; Sphaeromatidae
Description: partial 18S ribosomal RNA
Rfam family: Eukaryotic small subunit ribosomal RNA
Source: RNAcentral